GUGCCAGCAGCCGCGGUAAUACAGAGGGUGCAAGCGUUGUUCGGAAUCAUUGGGCGUAAAGCGCGCGUAGGCGGUUUCAUAAGUCUGAUGUGAAAGCCCGGGGCUUAACCUCGGAAGUGCAUCGGAAACUGUGUGACUUGAGUCUCGGAGAGGGUGGUGGAAUUCCAGGUGUAGAGGUGAAAUUCGUAGAUAUCUGGAGGAACAUCGGUGGCGAAGGCGACCACCUGGACGAUGACUGACGCUGAGGUGCGAAAGCGUGGGUAGCAAACAGGAUUAGAUACCCGGGUAGGAUC
Molecule: ribosomal RNA, 293 nt
Filed under: uncultured bacterium
Lineage: Bacteria
Description: partial 16S ribosomal RNA
Rfam family: Bacterial small subunit ribosomal RNA
Source: RNAcentral